AAAGUCAUAACUUUAACGAAGAAGUAUUCUUUUCAUUUCCAAAAUUAAUAUAUCAUAUAUGUGUCUAUAUAUAUAUAUAUAUAUAUAUUCAAAUUUAGGAACAUGAUUAACUCCCACUAAUCUUUUGUAAACCUAGUAAACAAAAGAUUCAUUUACAUCUUUAUGAGAUAUCAAACGAUUUGAUCUUUUCUCUCAUAAGACGCUUAUAGCUCCCACUAGCUUGCUAAGAUUCAUGAUGGAUGCAUCUCUACAACUUACAUGUCUUGUGAUUCAUAGUUUUAGACAUAUAUUAUCAAGACUAUCUUAAUAAUUGUUUCGGAAACCCAUAUUAUGUCCAAACAUUGAAUCACCAUUUAGUUGUAGCUAGCAAUCUUCGAAUUAAUUGAAACCAAGACUACGUUAAAGAUGGUUUCUUCAAAGUCAACCAAUCUCUUUGAUUGUAGUCACCUUAAGCUACCAAUUAGCUAUAAAGGUUUCAUUAUUUCGGGUCAAAUGGUACUUUACCAUUUCCUUGAGUAUAUGUCGUAUAUACACUCAAUGUAGUCAUAAGGAUUUUCAUUCUUAUUUUUUUUGAAUUAAGAGGUGUAACUCUAUGACAUAAUCAUAAAGUUCAAACCAUUCAACUGAGACAGUUUAUAAUCCUUCUCGACUACCUUGGAGCUUGUGGUAUAGGAACUAGGUUGUUAUAUUUGUUGAUCACUAUCUUGUCUCUCAAAGAACCCAUUCUUUGAGUUCUGUCCCUCGUUCAUUUGCUCUAUCUUAGGCAAAUCCUAGUGUAGGAUUACAAUGAACUACCCAACAAACAACAUUUGUUAGUUGGUUUAUAGAAGUGAUAUCCAAAUGUUAAUUUAAGGAUACCCACAAGAUAAUUCUUUAAACAAAUAUUGCUUAUUAGCACACAACCCCAAAUCUUAACAUGAUUAAGAUUUGUCUUUCUUUCCAACUACAUCCUAUGGAGUCAUGAAAAUUUUGGAAGAUCUUCUAAUUGAUAAUCAUAUUGUCUUAGAAGUGUAUAUCUUAUAUAUGGGUAAUUGAUAACAUCCAAUGAACUAAAUCUUAUUUGAGUUCGUUCUUCUCUUAAUGGAGAAAUCCAUUAUCUUAUGAUGCUUCUUUCCUUGAUAUCUUUCAAGGAAACUGUUCUAAAGUGUUACCUUUCCUUGGAUCAAAUCUAAGGAGGUAAAUACUUUAGACAUCUUACUCAUCAACUUACAUUUCUUGAAUUCUUUGAAACCUUUUGCAAAGUAUUCGGGCUUGUGUUUAUUCAAAAUAAAUGAUAGUCCAACCGAGAGCGAUCUUCGGUGAAUGUCAUACAACAUGAGUAGUAUUAUGUUGUGGACAAGUGCCACCAACAUCUAAGUGAAUUAACCUCAACAACUUUGUGAUUCUUUCUUCCUUUCCAAAAGAAUAAAGAUUCAAACAUUUUGCCACUAUACAAUUUUAACAAGAAGGCAUUGGAUCCGGAUCUAACGAUCCAAAGCAUCCAUCUAUGACCAACUCGUAAUUUAUGUUUUAGAGGUAUCACAACUCAGUUGGGAUUAGUCACUACCUUGCAACCCUUUGGGUUUUAAGCAUCAUUAUAUUCUAAACAGUUAACACUACCAUAUCAUCUCUACUAUAUUGAUAAUCAAUUAGAUUACAAUAAUCUAAUCAUUCAUUAAUAAAGAACAAUGUUUUGUCAAACAAAACAUUCAUCCAUCUCUCAUAGUGACGGAAUUAAGUUCCUUAAAAUUGGAAUGUAAAGACAAUAUUUGGUUUUUCCAUUUUCUAUGGUAGUUCAUAUGAGGAAGUAAGUACGAUCUGCUUUCGCAGAGAUCUACAUUUGAUUUACGUUCCGAAUGUGAAGUACUUUCUCUUCUUUCAUUAAUCUUCUACUUCUUAUUAGCCACACUUUUACAACGAUUGUAAAACAUAGUUGCUAAUACGGAAUCAAGCAUUCAAGUAGAAGAACCAACUAUUUUGAACUUUUCAAGAACAAUUUACAACACCUUCGAAAUGUGUGUUCUUGACACUUGCAAGACAUUUCUUGCAAAUACCCCUUCCAAUGUCCAUCCUUUCAUAAAGAAAGUUUGUUCCCAUGGAGUUAUUUCGCCUUCUUCUUUUGACUUCUCCUUUGACUACAAUAGUCAUGGUCCCUAAACUCUCACUAUCUCUUUUGAAACUUAUUUCAAUUGUGUUAUACACAUCAAACGAUUUGAAGAGCGUGUGGUUAUUGUUCACUAUAUAGUUUACAAUAAACUUAGUGAACCAUUUGGAUAGGGAUACAAAGGUGAAGUCUUUGCCUAGUUUCUGUCUCUAGAAGUGGUUUAACACUUCAACACUCAAUGAUUCAAAAUCAUCAUAAGUCCAUGUUGAUGGACUAUUUUUGUCAACCAACCAUUAUGUUCUAAACAUAAUUACAAACUUUCAAGAGUUGUUCAAGGCAACUCUCAUUUCUUCAUACAACAAUUUGUAAGUGAAGAAUCAUGGCACACAAAGUGUCCAUGUCCUUGUGCUUACUUCUUAAGUUCCUUGUUCAUGUAACAAAGAAACAAGCACUAAUGUUUGCGUUAGCUAAGGGUUGUUCAAAGCAACUCUUAUUUCUUCGUACAACAAUUUGUAAUUGAAGAAUUAUGACAUUAAAAGUGUUGUCCUCUUUAUGAUAGACUUAUCUAACAUGUUCUUCCAAUGAUACAUUAUCAAUAGGAAGAUUGCAGGGAUGAGACUACUUAGGUACAUAUACAAGCCAAUAUAGACAAUCUAUGGGAUUGUAGUACCAAGUCCAGAAACUAAAGCUUUCGGCUUUUUCUUUGUCAAGUUUAUGAUAGCGUUUGCAAAUAUGUUGGUAAAUAAAUACAUAACGAUUAUAAAUUGAUUGAUUUUAAGCCAUUUGAUUCGGGUGUUUAAAUCAAAUAGCAUCACCCACUAUUUUUGGCAAAUUCCAUAUCCCUCAUCGAAAUUUGAGAGUUUUGGAGGAAACUCUUAGUAGGGUAUGGGAGACUCAUCAUUACCAAGCCCACCUCACAAUGAUAUGAUGUUGGCUAGGAUCAAUAAUAAUGAGAGAGUAUGCUUACUCAUUUGCAUCUCUUGCAAGUACCCAUCUUAUUUGGCCUCUAGAGAAUGAACCCUCACAAUGAUAUGAUGUUGGCUCCAUUGCACUUAGUUAAGUCAUUCCCACCAUGCAAGUUCGAGUAGGGGGUUUAAGAACAACCUCACAAUGAUAUGAUGUUGGUCAUUCUCGUUGCCUACCUUCACAACAUCAUGUAUACAUGUAGAACUCCUCCUGAGUGUAAGCACGCACUUUGUACUCCCCCAUGAUAGGGUGAAGUCGGUGUACGAGUCACAAACGAUCGGAGCCUACCACGGUGGAAGGCCAGGAAAGAGUGUUCAAAGCACUCUCUCACGCUUAUCAACUUAAUAAUGGUUUGGUUGAGGGUUUUAGGUCUCAUCACAUAUAAGCAUGCAUUUUAAUCUUAUUAAAACAAUUUGGUCCUAUUACAACUAUUAGUCCAUGUGAUUGAUUUAGUUGUAUAUAAUACUCCCACUAUGCUUGUAAAACGGUUUUUAAAGCAAGAGUAUAUGGUACUACUAACAUAAGGUUUGCAUUCAUUGAUGGACUAUAUAGUUGCCUUAGGGCCUUAGGAUGACUAUGAACCUUUGAUUAGAUCCAACACGAGCCUAGUGUUGAAUCUCAGUCUAGGGAUGGUGAUUGAUUUUAGUUACGCGUUUAAUCAUAUUAAGGCGUGUUUUUUCCUAUUGGGCUUUGGACCCAACUACUCCAAUUUCAUGCAUAUCAAAUAAAACAAGAAAUGAGUACUUCAAAGUAAAGAAGAGCUUAUGCUCUCUUUUACAACAUUUGAUCAAAACAAAUUACUUUAAAGUAAAGAAGAGCUUAUGCUCUUUUACAACAUUUGAUCAUAUCAAAUUACAACCAAAAUCUAAUCUACACAUUCCCAUGGUUCAAACAAAUUUGAGAUGGCCUUUCACAUAGCUCAAUUAUCGUAGGCUUAGGUUCAUAAUCACCCUUUCUUUAAUUAAUUAACGCUUUAACUAAUUAAACUUGAAUGCAACAUUUUCAUUUGGUUUUUGUUUCCAUAGAAUUGAUUUAAAUGGAGCUAAAUGAAAUGAAAAUCCAAUUCUCAUUUAAAGAUACAAAACUAUUUUGUUCUCAACUAAUUUGGGCCAAAUGCAAUAACCACAACUUUUUGGGCUAUGUUGCAAAAUACAAACUUUCGAGGUCACUUUGUAAGAACACGAAAGUCCACUACUUCAUGUAAUUACAACUAGAACCCAAAAAUUUCAUCAAAUACAAAAACUUCAUUAAAGGAGCAAAACAAUUUGUCCUUUAGUGUUUUUGGGCCUUUACGUAAAAACGUAAACUUUCGGGUCAAAGUACAAAUACACAAAAGUAUCAAAACUUUAUGUAAUUGCAUAAAGCCCCAAAAGUACCCUAUUUUAAUAGGGUGGCCGGUUGGUGAGAGUGAAAAAGGAGGGCGGAAAAGGUUUUGGUGAAAAAUUCAAAAUUUGAAAGUGUUUUGUGAAAGUGGAUAGGUAGGUGAGGAAAAGUUGAUUGGGAUGGGUUGUAAAAAAAAUGUUUUGUCAAACAAUAAGGGCAUAAAUCAUCCAUCACCAAUCAAUAAUAAACCAAAACUCUAUUCAAAGCAACAAACAUAUUGAAUCAAAACACCAAAACUUUUUGUUCUUGGUAAGAACAUCAAGAACAUUGAAGAACACACAUGAAAACUUAUAAGAGCUCCAUGAAUGUUUUCACACAAUAAAAUUCAAAAUUUCAUUACUCAAAAGGGGGUUAACAUCCUAGGGUACUUAGGGGUUCCAAAAGUCACCUUAAAACACUUUUAAUAAGUUAAACAAGAACCCAAAAAAAACCACCCUUUGGAUUUGGCCGAAUUUCCCCAAAAACAUGGCACCAAAUUUUAGCUCCAAAAUUCAUGCUCAUAUGAACUACAUCUACAACAUUUGAGAUGGCAAAUUUUCUAACAAAAUUUACAUUCAAAGAAGCAAGAAUAAAGCUUGUAACAAUUACAACAUUCAAAUCAAAGACUAUGAAAAUACAAAACCCAAAAGGAUUCACCAACUACUAGACCUAGGCUCUUGAUACAACUUGAAGGAAAUUUUGUUAAAAACAUGUUCAUUUGAGCAACAUCUAUGGCAUGCAAUUAACAUUUAAAGGCAGAAUCAUGCUUGUAUGCCCUCAAAAACAAAACAUUACCCAUGAAAUUCAAAGCCUAGUAGAAAGGUGAACCAAGACUCAACUCAAGAACAAAGUGAGUUGAGAUAUUUGAUACCUUUGUUGAUUCCUCUUUGCAUAAGCAAAGGCUAAUCACCCAAGGAGAGGGCCUUCAUUCCUUGCUUCUUAGUUCCAUCGAUUUCUUGGAGGAGGAUGGUAGAAAGGAUUCUCCAAGUUCCCAAAAUUGAGAACCUCUAAGUUUUCCACACCAAGGAAGGAGUUGAAGAAGAGAUAAGUGACCUUGGGGGAUGAAAGAUUGCUAGCUAAUCUCCUCCAAGGGGACCGGCCUCUUAGAGAGAAAGGGAGAGACAUUGUGUUCUCAUCUUUUCUCUAAAAGAAACCCUAAGGAUGAAAUGGCUAUAAAGUUGCCUUUAUACCACCUCACAAUGGAGUGGCAAACUUGCAAUUAAAGCAAGUUCACUACCCUCCUCUAUUUGGCCGGCCUGAAGGGUUUAUUGGGCUUUCAAGCUCUUUGUUUAUUCAAGUUGUCAUGCAAGUUGAGUUAAUGGGCUUGACAUUCAAAUCCCAUUGGGCCUUGCGGCCCAAAACUAACCCGAGAUCUUUAACGAACUUUAUUCGAUUGAUUAAUUAACAUAUUAAUUAAUCCUUGCCAUAAAUAAUUAAACCAUUUAAUUAUCCUUACUCAUCUCCGUUGUUUCUUCAAUCUCUACCUUACACGAUGUACGAUCCAUUAGGUUCCUUUUAACGAGGCAGUGGGCGAUUGGAACUCUUUCAAAUCGAUUGUGAAUUGAAACUUACUUUCAAUUCUCCCUUUAGUGAUUAUACACGUUUAGGGCUUCCACAAACCAUGAGUGACACCUAGCAGUAUGUUAUGGUUACCCAAGCUAAUCAGAAGAGGUGGAGAACCUAUUCAGUUUAGGAUUACAAUGCAAUACGGUCUUUCUCUAAUACAAAACUCUUGACCACAUUGUUUGGUUUGAUAGUUUAAUCAUGUCUACUAUCCAAUGUGAUUCAUUUACUUAUAUGAUUACCUUGAAUGUGAUUUGGAAUGACUUCCUGAAUCUCAUUCAUACUCUGGCCAGAGAUUCUUAAUCAUAUCAUGGAGUAUUCUCCCUCAAACGGUUUGAAGGUUAGAGAUCCCUUGUGGCGCAUUCACUUGCCUCUAUGGCUAAGUGACUUAACCCCAACUAUGCCGUGGACACCCUCUGACACAGUGACUUUGACAUAGUCAAAGAUCAAUGACCUAACCACAAGACAACUAUGAUGCCUCAGGUCAAAAGACUACUUUGCAUUAUCCCAACCAUGAGUUCUCAUGUGACAUGAGUAUGAGAACUCCUCGUUGAUCGUGUUCAGUGGACUCAUUCUCUAUUGAGCACCUACAUGCUUGUCUUGGUGUCAAUCACACACCAAUGUCUCGAGACCAGUCACUCUCCCUGAGAGAAGAUACAGCACGUAUUGAUCUUAACGGACUGUCAAUGCCCAAUUGGAAUCCUAUGAUCAGGAACGUUUAGGAUAUGUAUACGGAAGAGAAUGGUCUCAUGAAUCUAACUUCUUUAAAUUACAUUCUCCUAAUUACAUAUUCCUUGGACUUAUCGUUUAAGCAUAUAACAUUUAUUUGAGACAGCUUAAAACAAUAAUCUUUGCCCUUGAUAUUAAACUAGAUUAGUUUAACAUGUGAAAUGUCCGUAAAGUAUCAUCAUAUGAUUGGUUUUAGGGCACAUUUCCAACAAAAAGAAGCUAAACCUAGACUCAUUCGUUGGAUGCUUCUACUUCAAGAGUUUGACAUUGAAAUUAAGGACAAGAAGGGGAGUGCCAUUGUGGUGGCUGAUCACUUAAGCAGAUUGGUGCAUGAAGAGGAGUCCAUUCCCAUUCCAGAAACAUUUCCAGAUGAGCAACUACUAUCCAUUCAAGUAAGUGAGCCUUGGUAUGCUGAUUUGGUCAAUUAUUUGGUGUCUAAACAAGUUCCUAACACCCUAAACAAGUUCCAACGUGAUAAACUUAAAAAGGAUGCUAGAUUUUAUGUUUGGGAUGACCCAUACUUAUGGAAAUACUGCCCAGAUCAGAUUCUAAGAAGGUGUGUUCUUGAGUCCGAAUUUCACUCAAUUUUAAGUUUCUGUCACACCUAUGCUUGUGGGGGCCAUUUUGGCACCCAAAGGACAGAAAGUGGUUUUUAUUGGCCUACUUUGUUUAAAGAUGCUAGAACUUUUUGUUUAACAUGUGAUCGUUGCCAAAGGACAGGUAAUAUAGGCUAAAGAAAUCAAAUGCCGCAGGUUCUCAUCCUUGUUGUUGAAAUAUUUGAUGUUUGGGGUAUUGAUUUUAUGGGUCCUUUUCCUUCAUCUUUUGGUUUCAAUUACAUAUUACUUGCGGUUGAUUAUGUUUCAAAGUGGGUGGAAGCAAAAGCCACCCGAACUAAUGAUUCUAAAGUUGUGGUAGAUUUUGUGAAAACUAAUAUCUUUUCCAGAUUUGGGAUGCCUAGGGUGCUCAUAAGUGAUGGGGGGUCUCAUUUUUGCAAUCGUACCAUUGAGGCGCUGCUUAAGAAGUACAAUGUGACGCAUAAGGUUUCCAUACCUUAUCACCCCCAAACAAAUAGCCAAGCCGAGGUGUCUAAUAGAGAGAUCAAACAGAUUUUGGAGAAGACCGUUGGGCCAAAUAGAAAAGAUUGGAGCUUACGUUUGGAUGAUGCACUAUGGGCGUAUCGCACGGCUUACAAAACCCCCAUUGGUAUGUCUCCCUUUCGGCUCGUUUAUGGCAAACCAUGCCAUCUUCCCGUGGAAUUAGAACAUAAGGCAUAUUGGGCUAUCAAGACCUUCAAUUUGAAUGUGGAUCAAGCUGGAAUUCAUAGAAAACUUCAAUUGAGUGAACUUGAAGAGAUUAGGCAUGAAGCUUAUGAGAAUGCUCAAAUUUACAAAGAGAAGACCACGACAUUCCAUGACAAGAUGAUUCAAGGCAAAACUUUCUCACUAGGGCAGAAAGUGUUGUUGUUCAACUCCCGUCUUUGUCUAUUCCCUGGUAAGUUACGUUCCAAGUGGGUUGGUCCGUUUGUUAUUACUCAUAUUUUUGUUCAUGGUGCAGUCCAAAUCAAAAGUUUGAAAAUGGGGUAAGAAUUCAAGGUGAAUGGGCACCGCUUGAAGCCAUACUAUGAGAACUUUGUGGAGCAUGUCGUGGAAGAGACACCCCUUCAUGCCGUGGGCUCUAAUGUAGAUUGAAGACGACUCGUCCGGCUGCAAGAUAUUAAAGAAAGCGAUUCUUGGGAGGCAACCCAUGCAUUCACCAAGGAGAAGAUGGAACUUUCAUUCCAAACCCAGAUUUGCGUUUCUACACUCUUCUCCUUGUUGUUUUAUUUUUUGUUUGUUUGUUUGUUUGUUUGUUUUUGGUGUGAGUUUAUGCUUGAAACAUUGAGAACAAUGUUUGAUUUAAGUGUGGGGGGGGGAGGGUAACCAAGUUGUUCCUUGUUAUUUUAGGUGUUUUAAGCUGUUUUGGAGUGUUUUAGAGUGUUUUGACUUAAAAAUCCGAAAAUCUCAUAAAAACUUGAAAAAGUGUUUUGAAAAGCCCAAAAAAGAGUUGUUUUUGUGUGUUUGUUUGUGUCUUAGGCUACCUUCCAACACAAUGAUGAGUAUUCGGUUUGUAAUUGCAUGACUAUUAAAGAGAGUUAUACACAUGGAUGAAAGUUUGAUUUGCUCCUUGAUUUAUGCUUGGUUGUGGUUAUAAUUUAUGAAUUCACAUGCGAAUUAAGGAAAAAUCAUUUUGUAACAUGCUUGAAGGAAGGAACUCAAAUAAACGCUACAACCUUGUGAGACUUGAGCCUAAAUGUUUAUUUGGAGAAUUAAUAAUCUGUGCAUCAUUGUUUUCUAAAGUCGUUGCAUGAUCUCAUUAUUAUUUGCUUGGUUACUACUUAGAAGGCGUUUCAUCAUUUAGUUCCAAAUGCUAGAACUCAUGCUCAUUUCAUUCAAAGCAUGCUAUUGAUUUGCAUAACACAUAUUCAAGAUGAAGUUGUGUAGUGACCACCACCAAAGCCAAAUUUCCGUGUAUCCUACUUCAUUAUAUGUUUAAGUUUAACCCCAUUGAGCCUUGUGUAGCCUAUGUUCUUUGUUAACCCACACUAUCCUCACCUAGCCUAGAUUAGGACCAUCCAUACCCUUGUUCUUGAAGCAUAGUAAACCAUGACUCAAAAUGAAUUCCUUUUGAUUAAUGUAUUGCAGAAAACAAGUGUGGGGGAAGUGAUUCUUGUUGUGUGUGUGUGUGCCAAAGUCCUUAAUAAGGCACGGGUAGAAAAGAAAAAGAAAAGAAAAAUUCGUGAAAAAUAGAAAGAAAAAAAAAGUUGUGAAAAGAGUGAAAAAGAGUUGAAAAAUGUAUGAAAAAGAGUUCUAAAGUGUUGUUUGUUGAAGAAAGGGCCCAAAACAUUGAAUUCAGCCCUAAGGGUUGCAUGAAUCUUCCCUUUGUGUUUAAAAGUUGAUUUCUGCAUUCUAAAGUGAAUUCUAAGUUUCGAUUUCAUUACUUUGCUUGCUAUUGCUUUAAGAACGUUUGUUAUCCCUAUCCUUCCUUUGUUAACCAAUACCCCAAGGCCCGUUUCAAACCUUGACUUCUAUCUUGAGUGUUAUGUGUUUCAAGUUGUGGAGUUUGAAUUUGGUAUGAGCAUAUGGUGUCACUGGUUCUUGCAUCUAAGUAGUAGCAUUCCAUUCAUGAGAUCAUAUCUAAACAUGCUUAUUAACUCUAGAAAUUGCUUUCUUUGUUAUACAUAUAUGUGAGCGUUCGUUUUCAUGUCUACAUCAAUCUUCUCACAUAUAACUAGUAUAGGGUGUGUAGUUAGAAAAUAUGAGUGAAAAUUGAGUGCAUAUCUUGUAAGGAAUUGAGCGAAUUCUCUAAGGCAUGUUACUACAUUCAAAACAUCGUUUUAAUUGGUUAAUUGUCAACUAGUAAGUGGUGACUAUGAUUAAGUAUGUGCUCAAGUGUGAAGAUGACUAAAAUCUAUGGGGAUGAAGAUUUUUAACAUGUCAUGUGCAUUGGAAAUCCCUGAGGCAAACGUUGGAAGGUUUAGGUUGUGUUUUGUUUCGUUUUUGUUUUCUUGAGUUCAUUUUGUUUUGCUCGAGGACUACCAAAUGCUAAGUGUGGGGGAAUUUGAUAGGAGCAUUAUUAUGCGACUUAAUUGGCUUGUUCUUGUGCAUUUACGUUGUGUUUAGUUAUUUUAGUGUUUAAAGUCAUUUUCGUGUGUUUUCAGAUUCUAAGGACAAAAUAUGCAAGAAGAUGCAUUUUGGAGCCUUUUGGAGCAAAAUUGGGCUUGGAAUGGUUAUCACAUGCUUGGAGCAAAAGGAAUGGACGAAAUUGAAGAUUUAAAGAAGUAAGGAUUCCUAAUCAACUAAGGAUUCCUAAUCAACGAAGGACUCCUAAUUGAAGAUGGAUUCCUACUCCAAGAAGGAUUCCUACUUGAAGUAGGAAAGUUAAGCCAAGGUUUCCUAUUUUGGUUUGACCUUUCCUAAAUCCUAAUUGUCCCUAUGUUCCAGCAACAUUGAAGGCCUUUUAAGCAUUCUAGGACACAAAUUACACAUUCCUUGCAUGGUCCAAUUCCUUGACCCACUUGUCCCACUUUCCCUUUCCCUUGCCGUGCAAGGGAACCUAUUUCCCUUCAGUUUUAGGACACUUUGCCUUCCCUAAAACACAUGCCGCAACCUCCUUGCCCUUUCCUCUUCCUUGCCGUGCAAGGGAGAUGGUUCUUUCCUGUUUCCUUGCAUUAAAACACAUUCCUAUUGUGUUUUAAUGCCUUGCCGCACCUCUUAGCCUUUUUCCUUAAGUUCUCUGAUUUUAUUUCAAAUUUCUGAAAACCUUGGACUUAAUUUCUGUAAACCUAAAUAACCUAGGGUUUUAAUUCCUGAAACCUUUAAAUAAACUUCUUUUGGCAGCCACAAAUCAUCCAUUCAUUCACCCAUUCACACCAGAAAUCCAUCCCCACUCUCUGCCACAUCCAUCCUUCACCAUUCUCCAUAUUUUCUGACCUAAAACAACCUUUGCCGCACCAUACACCUAUCCUAACCAUAAACCCAUCCUUCUACACCAUCCAUAACCCCUUAAACUCACCACCAAACCUUGUGCCGCAGCAAAGGAAGGGAAGAAGAAGUGCUUGAAUGUUCUUGCUGUUUAAUUUGGAUCGUUGGAGCGUUUAGGUGUUUUCUUUCUUUUGUUUACAAUGUAUAAAUCUGUUUUCCUUUGUUUUGUGAACAUGAGGAACUAAACCUUCUUGCCUAGGGGGCUAUUCAAUACCAUGAUUAUACUUGCAAUAUGAAUUGAUUACCUUCAAUUGUUAUUUCAUAAGUUGUAAAUUCAAUUUGCUUGACCGUUUGAUUGAUAACUUAUUCUUAUAUGUCUAUUAAGAGUGCACACUUAGUUUUCAUGCAAGGAUUUGAAGCUAAAAUAUAAGAGAGUUUCACCUAAUAGUUACAAACUUAUAUUUUCAAGUAGUGGAGGUCGCUUAUAAACGAUCGCGUUAAGUGAAUUCUUGGCAAGAGUAUCAUGCCCAUCAUAGUUACAAAUGCCUCGUCAAUACUUAUAGUUUUCAUGAAGCUUAAUGAUCUUUGAUUGUACCUUUAUUGUGCUUUUCACGUAGGGGACUUUUAGAGAAUGUUUUGAAUUGUUGUAUGUGCUUUCCCAUCCAAAUCAUUAACUUAAGGAGAACUUGAAGGUUAAAAAAGUGUUGUCACAGUUAACUUGGAGUAUUGAGUUUCAUGGUUUAUUGAAAGUAGCAAUUGGAAAUCAAUUUAAAUGCAAGUGUGUUGUGUGUGGAGAAGAACCAUCUAGCUAGCCCAUCAUGCAUCUGAUGCGUAAAAUAAGUUAACACACAAAAUUAAACCCUCUUUUUGACAAUUGUAGUAUAGAUGUAAGUAGGGUAUCGUUCUAGGCCGGGGAUUAGGAGGGAUUGCUAAUCUAUUAAAUUAACUUAAAAAUAUUAAAUAAGACUCAAGGACACAAAACUAGGCUAAAAACUCUAAUAACUCGAAACACACUUAAAAUGACUCAAAAUAAUGAAAACAAUUAAAUUAAACACUAGGAACUGAAAUGGACGGAAAUUAAAUUAAAAGACUAACAAUAAAGAAAACUAACUAAAUAAUAUAAUUUAAUAAUGGAUGGGUGUUUGGUGUUUGAUGAAAAAUAAAUUAAACUUAAUUAAAUUACAGAAUUGAUAAAAACAUAAAAUUAAGGUAAAAUGAUAUAAAUGACGGACUAGCUAGAGGGUUCUUCUCCACAUAUGACACAUAUGCAACCUAAAUUGAUUUGGUGAAAUGUGAAAAAAAAUUAAACUUAAGUACAGAAUUGAUAAAAAACAUAAAAUUAAGGUAAAAAUGAUAAAUGACGGACUAGCUAGAAAAGCGUCUUCUCCACAUUUGACACAUAUGCAAACCUAAAUUGAUUUUCAGUUGUUUCUUUCAAUAAAUUGUGAAUCUCAAAAAAUACAGAUUAACCAGUGAACAGCACUUUUUUAAUCUUCAAGUUUUCCUUAAGUUAUUGAAUUGGACGGAAACGCAUACAAAAUUCAACAUUCUUCAAAAGUCCCCUACGUUAAAAGCACAAUAGACAAAGAUCAUUAACUUGUUGUGAAAGACGAAUUAUUUCGUUUCGUAAUUAAAGCAUGAUACUUAAAAUGCGUGAUAUCUGUGAGCUAAACCUUUGACUAGCAAACCUUUACAUAAGUUCAACUCAAACUUAUAUAAGUUCAUACAUUCUGACUGAAAUUCAAAUUCAAAUUCAUGUUAAAUUAAGCGUUGCACUCUCAACCAACAUACACAAAUCAGUUUUUACGAACGGAAUAAGUAUAAAUAUCAAAUUUCAAAUUAUUAAGGUAUCAGAAUUCAAUUUAAUUAUAAAAUUCUAGAAAAAAUUAAUUUACAUUUAUUAAAAUAGAAAUAAAAUAUAGAUUUAGAAAGAUUUAACCGAGAGAGAGGAGAGUGCUUGCUGCUUCUUCUUAUUCCGUUUUUCCUGCGUGCUGACCUCAUGCUCAAGCUGCCUCUUUUCCUGUUUCCCCGCGUCCUGCGUUUCUUGUCAAGCUGCUGCGUGCUGACCUUCCCUGCACGCUGCCAAGUCACGCUGCCUAAUGGCAGCUCACCUUCUCUCCCUCACCUCCUGCACGUACUGACCUUCUCACUCCUCUGGCGCUGCCCCGUGUCCUCCUGCUCUCCUUCCCUAUUUCCUUCUGUUUCUUUAUUUUUUAUAUCCUUUUCUGCUUCUGGCAGCAGGGCUGCCCCCCCCCAAAUCACCCAACCUUUUUUUUUUUCUAUUUCGUGUCCCUCUCGUUUCUCUCCCUCUCCUUCUAUCCCCCUUUUCUAUUUUUUAUUCUCUUUUCUUUCACGCCUAACCUUCCCGUCAGUCAAGGUUGCCAGCUGCAAAAGGGCAGCUCCUUCCCAUCCUCAAUUCUCUUGGAUUCCUUUCACCCCCCUUUCUGCCUUUUUUCUUCCUUUUAUUCUUUUAUUUUUUGUUUUGUUUCCUUUUUUGUUUUUCACGUUUUCUUUUCUUUUUCUUUAUUCUUUCUACAAAACAUAACAAAUCUUUAUAAACACCAAAAUAACGUAAAAUAGCUCAAAAAUAUAAGGAACUAACUAAGAAAAGACGAGUGAAUUCGAAGUAAAAAUAUAUAUAAAUAUGAUCCGAUCAGCAUCUAAUUCAACCAAUUUCGUGCAAAUCUGUUUAGUUUUAAUCUUGCUUUGUUUUACUUUAUUUUCGUCCAAAAUCAAAUUCCCUUUACUUUAGAGUGUCUAAUUAGUUAGAAUCUGUUUAGUUUGUGUUUUUAAGUGUUUUGAAUCAACAUAAAACCAAAAUUCGUCCAAAAGAGUGUUUAGAGUCCAAAUCUGCCCAGUUUGUGUAUUUAGGCAUAUUUGAGCGUUUUUAGCUUGUUUUGAGUCUUUUGAAUUUGUUUUGAGUUCUUUGAGUCUAGUUAAGUGUUUUUAAGUUUAUUUUUAUAUAUUUGAGUCAGUUUAGAGUGUUUUAGCAAUCCCUCCUAAUCCCCGGUUUAAGAAUGAUCCCUACUUAUCCGUACUACAAUUGUCUCAACAAGAGGGUUAAUUUUGUAAGUGUUUAAGGUCAAUUUUCGCAGUCAGUUUUCGACUCUUCCGACUGUCUGCACUCAGGUAGGUCGAUCACGUUUUUGUCAAGCAAGUCUUUCAACAUGGCAACCACAUAUAGAGUCGGGGAACGGAUAAGUCUUCUCCUUAAGCUCCUUCAAAGUGCGUCUACACAUCUCUAGAUCAUGAAAAAGCUUUGGUUUGAAUCGCCUUACCACAUGUAAAGAUUUUGACGGAAGAUGUGUUGACUGUCAUUACUUCCUUGUUGGAUUUUGCACGCAGUAUUCUCCACCUUAGGCCAAAAAACUUUGUCGUUCUUGUAGUCAGUGAUCGGUUCUUUCUUCUUAUGAUGGGCGAUGCUCAACUCCUUUUUAUGGCUGGUGCGUGGGGUGGCAGCUCUUUGAAGGUUCCGUGCGUUUUCAUGUUGGAAGAUGAGAGAGUAAUGUAAUCCCAUGUAUUACAUGCCUUUUGUACAACAUCUCGCCCUUAGGAAUCUCCGAAGUCUAUCUUUACAGUUAAGACUUAGACUGCGCAUCGAGUUGUUGUGUUCAACGACUGGCUCAUCCUUCCACUGCCUUUGUAUAUUUGUGAGAGCUCUAGCAUGCUUAAACUAAGUGCGGCGGGUGCUGAGAAGAAGGUUGAGGAAUUGCUUUGGCUGCUCUCAAUUGUUGAUGGACUCAAGCUCUAGGUCCAUGUAUCAGUCAAACGCAUUUCUAUUCAGAAAGCGGACAAACUGCUUUGUGGUAGGGUAGUCUGUCUCCAGUCCCUGCAUUGUUUGCAAAGUUCUCGACAAAAAGGGCGACGUGUUGCUUUGGGUUUCCUUUUCAUCAAACUUAAAACUUUCAUGGUUGGUACCUGUUCAAUAUCCUCAACCUAUUAAUCCUCUUGGUGUAUGGCUUUGAGUACAACAAUGCAUUCUGCGAAGUACCUUCCACCUGUGUUCUGACGGUGUUGUCAAUAAUGUCCUGGAUAUGUUGUAUGGAAAGAAAGCCUAUGAAUGUCGUUGCUUGGUCUGGCUUCUCGACUUUCUCCACUAGAGGCUCAUCUUCUUCGUCGGCUUCUCUCUUUAGUGGAUCAACCUUUCGGUCGCAGUCAACUUUUUAUCAUGCUAAAACGCCUCAAUCAAUUUAUUUCAGUGCAUUGCAAGUCCCUUUUCCUCUGCAGUCCUUUAUGAGCCAAUGCAAUUGCCUUCACUUAUUGUCUUUCUUAUUCAAUGGAAAGCUUUUAUGUCACGACCCUUGUAACGCCAAUUGGUCACCAUUUUUUGACAACUGCGAGACAUCCAGGGUGUUGACGAAGAACCCCGUUGGCCAUUGGCAUGGAAUGUUAUCUUGUGCGCCCAAUAUAGCAAUUGUGCCCCAGUAAGGUUAGGUUGAUGAUAGACUCGCGCAUUUGAUGCUCCCCUUGCUCCUUUUAGGCACCACUUGAAGCCGCAUGUAAGGGAGUGGUUUUUGAGCCAAUGGAUUGUUCGUUUUCACCGGAAGUGCUCAGGAUCCUUCCCUUGGUGGUUGCCAAGUGUGCUUCCUUGCUUGAUGCAUUGAUUUUUUGGUGUGUUCGGAUUCCCCCAGAGAAAAGAUAGUUUAAGGAGAGAUGGACCCGCUGAGUGUGCCAAAUUUGUAAAUACGAUUUUUUAGUAAUGUUGAUGGCUCAUGAUGUUUUGGGGUUACAAUCUGCUCUCGUGCCAUCUGAUUCGAUCUUCGUUUGUGUAGAUUUGUGGAGAAUUUUUCUUGGUUGAAAUGAGUUUCACAAGGAUCGCGGGAAGUUUUCUUCAAUCCUUGCUCGGGCUUAUUUAGGGCUGAGAUUGAUUUUAACGGUUUAAGGGCUUUUUGGUUUUUGAGCUUGAAGGUUGAUGGAAUUUCUUCAAGGGCCUUUAAGGGCUUGAUCUUGAAGUUGAGGAUGAACAGAUCUUCAGGCUUUUGGGUUGACUGCUUCAGGAUCUUCAAGGGGUUUUGGUUGAUCCCGAAUCAAAAUAGGCUUUUUGAACUUGAUAUUUUGAAGGGUUUGGAUUUUUUUGUUGAAAAAUGGGUGUCUUUGGAUCGAUUCUGGGCUUUUUUGGACUUUGAUCGAAAGAUGAUGGACAAAACACUUUUAAGGCUUUUUCGUGCAGAAGGUUGAUUCUUGGAAGAGUUGAUUAGAUGUUUUGAUCAGAUCCUUCAAGGGGCUUUGGAACUGGCUUGUCGAAAGGAAUGAUGUUUGUGAAGACUCUUCAGGGCCUUGGGCUUUUGGCUUGGAUUUGAUUCGAACGAUUUGAUUGGUGUUGGAUUUUCUUGAAUGCUUUAGUUUCCUAUCUUGAAAAGGUUUGGUUUGUGAAUUGAUGUUGUGAUCUAAUUAAUGAAUGCCUUUGGCUCCUGAACUUUUUUUGAAACUUGAUUUUGAACGAUUAAACGAUUCUUUUGGGGUUAUGCAGGUUAGAAGGAAAUUCGACCAUUUUAACUUGAAGAAUUUCGUGGGGCUCAAAUGGAUGGUAUUCGCUUUGCUUGUGCGUGUGAGGAUAUUUUAAGAUGAUACAUAUUAAAAUUGGUGAAAAUGCCUUGGCUUUAUAUAAAUUUCAAACUUGAACAUUACAUGAAAUAAUUUCAUUUUGCCAUUACAGUAAUUUGAAUUUUUUCUUAGACAAAUGACAUGGCUACGAGAUUACAAUUGGACGUUCACAUUUUAACUUAUUGAUCAACAUUUUAUUUCACCGAAAUUUCGAUGCUGGAUCUCUAUUAUUAUGACUAAGAGUAUUGGUGGAAACAUUAAAAGUAAUAAUGACUUCAAAUGUGUUCCAUCAUGCAUACAAAAUAUCGCCAUAUAGAAGCUUACAAACAAUGUUGUUUGGAUGGGAACUGAAGAUUAUUUUGUGAAAACAGUUCAUUUAACAACCUAAGAUGCAAUUAACAAAAAUCAUGGGCAUGGUGAACAUUUACCCAAACUCAAAACCAAAACCAACUCAAACAAAGUGAGUUGAAAUUUAUACCUUUGUAGAUUCCUCUUUGCAUAAGCAAAGGCUAAUCACCCAAAGAGAGGGCCUUCAUUCCUUGCAUCUUAAAUCUAUGGAUUUGGAUGGAUGAAUAGGUUUCUCCAAGUUCCCAAAAUUGAGAACCUCUAAGUCUCUUCACCAAGGAGAGAUUGGAGAAGAAAUGAGUGACCUUGGAGUAGUGGGAUUGCAAGAUGCACCCCCAAGGUGGCCGGCCUCUUUAGAGAGAAAUGGAGAGACAAGUUCUCACCAAUUUUCUCCAAAACAAACCCUUAAUGAAUUUUGGCUAUAAAGUCAUAUUUAUACCUUUAUUCAUUGGAGUGGCAAACUUGUAAAUAAGUCCAAGUUCACUACCCUAAACAAUAUGGCCGGCCAUUAGGAUAUUUUGGACUAAUUGGGCCUUUGUGAAUCAUUAUUCGUUAAGUUGUCAUACAACUUAAGUUAAUGGGCUUGACGUUCGAAGCCCAUUGGGCCUUAAGGUCCAAAACUAUCCCGAGGGCUUUAACGAACUUAUUCGUUUGAUUAAUUAACAUAUUAAUUAAUCCUUGCCAUAAAUAAAUGAUUAAACCAUUUAAUCAUUCUUACUCAUCUCCAUUGUUUCUUCAAUCUCCUCCUUACACGGUGUGCGAUCCAUUAGGUUCCUUUUAGCGAGGCAGUGGGCGAUUAAAACCAUUUUACAUCGAUUGUGAAUUGAAACUUACUUUCAAUUCUCCCUUUAGUGAUUACACACGUUUAGGGCUUCCACAAACCAUGAGUGACACCUUGCAGCAUAUCAUGGUUACCCAAGCUAAUCAGAAGAGGUAGAGAAAACCUAUUCAGUCUGGGAUUACAAAUGCAAUACGGUCUUUCUCUAAUCUAAUACUCCUGACCACAUUGUUUGGUUUGAUAGUUUAUUUAUUCAUGUCUACUAUCCAAUGUGAUUCGUGUGCUUAUAUGAUUUCCUUGAAUGUGAUUCGGAACGCAUUCCCAAAUCUCAUUCAUACUCUGGCCAGAGAUUCUAAAUCAUAUCAUAGAGUAUUCUCCCUCAAACGGUUUGAAGGUUAGAGAUCCCUUGUUGCGCAUUCACUUGCCUCCAUGACUAAGUGGCUUAACCCCAACGAUGCCGUGGACACCCCGAGGGGGAGACUUUGACAUAAUCAAAGAUCAAGUACUUAACCACAAGACAACUGUGAUGCCUCAGGUCAAAGGACUAAUUUGCAUUAUCCCAACCAUGAGUUCUCAUGUGACAUGAGUAUGAGAACUCUUCGUUGAUCGCGUUCAGUGAACUCAUUCUCUACUGAGCACCUACGUACUUGUCUUGAUGUCACACACACCAAUGACUCGAGACUAGUCACUCUCCCUGAGAGAAGAUAUAGCACGUACCGAUCUUGACGGACUGUCAAUGCCCAAUUGGCAAUCCUAUGAUCAGGAACAUUUAGGAUGUGUCUACGAAAGAAUGGUCUCAUGAAUCUAACUUCAUUAGAUUACAUUCUCCCAAUCACAUAUUCCUUGGACUUUAUCGUUUAAGCAUAUAACAUUUAUAUGAGACGGCUCAAACAAUAAUCUUUGCCCUUUAUAGUUAAACUAGAUUAGUUUAACAUGUGAAAUGUCCGUAAAGUAUCAUCAUAUGAUUGGCUUUAGGGCACAUUUCCAACAGAAAGUUCAUUUAUAAACUCUCUAUUCGGUUCUAACUAGAAAGUGUCUCUAGUGUACCGACACUACGACACUAAUGGGGCGAUAGCUUAAGCUAGGGAAAACUCAAAUGAGAGACUGAACCACAUGAUUGAGAAUCAUGUAUAAUGGUGACGUCGUUAUUCUCAAGGUUGUUUCCAUGGAUAACAUAUAGAUAUCCAUUGUCUAGGCCAACUACUCAGCCAUUUUUUUGAAUGAAUUCAGAAAAGGUAUCAUCACUAAUGACCAAGCUGAUUAGCUCUAGUGCAAAUGGGAGAUUGUUGGAAAUGUGCCCUAUAGCCAAUCAUAUGAUGAUACUUUAUGGACAUUUAACAUGUUAAACUAAUCCAGUUUAAUAUAAAGGGCAAAGAUUAUUGUUUAAAUUCGUCUCAUAUAAAUGUUAUAUGCUUAAACGAUAAGUCCAAGGAAUAUGCAAUUGGGAGAAUGUGAUCUAAAGCAGUUAGAUUCAUGAGACGAUUCUUUUUUGUAUACAUACCCUAAAUGUUACCGAUCAUAGGAUUGCCAAUUAGGCAUUGACAGUGCUUUAAAGUCAGUACGUGCUAUGUCUUCUUUUAGGGAGAGUGAUUGGUCUUAAGUCAUUGGUAUAACUGACACCAAGACAAGCAUAAAGGUGCUCAAUAGAGAACGAGUCCACUCAACACGAUCAACGAGAAGUUCUCAUACUCAUUUCACAUGAGAAAUCAUGGUUAGGAUAAUGAAAAGUAGUCAUUUGACCUGAGACAUCAUAGUUGUCUUGUGGUUAGGUCCUUGAUUUUUGACUAUGUCAAAGUCACUUCGUUAGAGGGUGUCCACGACAUAGUUGGGGUUAAGCCACUUAGCCACGGAGGCAAGUGACUGUGCAACAAGGGAUCUCUAGCCUUCAAACCUUUUGAGGGAGAAUACUCUAUGAUAUCAUUAAGAAUCUCUGGCCAGAGUAUGAAUGAGAUUUAGGAAGUCGUUCCAAAUCACAUUCAAGGUAAUCAUAUGAGUAAGAGAAUCACAUUGGAUAGUAGACAUGAAUAAACUAUCAAACCAAACAAUGUGGUCAAGAGUAUUAUAUUAGAGAAAGACCGUAUUGCAUUGUAAUCCUAAACUGAAUAGGUUCUCCACCUCUUCUGAUUAGCUUGGGUAGCCAUGAUAUACUGAUAGCUGUCAUUCAUGGUUUGUGGAAGCCUUAAAGGUGUAUAAUCACUAAAGGGAGAAUUGAAAGUAUGUUUCAAUUCACAAUCGAUUUGAAGAGUUCUAAUCGCCCAUUGCCUUGCUAAAAGGAACCUAAUAGAUCAUACACCGUGUAAGGUAGAGAUUGAAGAAACAAUGAAGAUGAGUAAGGAUAAUUAAAUGGUUUAAUUAUUUAUGGCUAUGAUUAAUUAAUAUGUUAAUUAAUCGAAUGAAUAAGUUCGUUAUAAACCUCGGGUUGGUUUUGGCCCGCAAGGCCCAAUGGGAUUUGAAUGUCAAGCCCAUUAACUCAAGUUGUAUGACAACUUGAAAACACAAAAGGCUUCAAGGCCCAAAUAACCUAUAAUGGCCGGCCAUGUAGAAAGGGGUAGUGAACUUGCCUUAAUUGCAAGUUUGCCACUCCAUUGUGAGGUGGUAUGAAGGCAACUUUAAAGCCAUUUCAUCCUUAGGGUUUUUCUUUGUAGAUAAGAUGAGAACAAAAGCUCUCUUGACUGUCUAAGAGGCCGGCCACCCUAGAGGAACAUAUCUAGCAAUCUUCCUUCGUCUAGGUCACUCAUCUCUUCAUGAAUGCUCUCCUGGGCGUGGAGACUUAGAGGUUCUCUAUUUUGGGAACUUGGAGAAUACAUUCAUCUAUCCUCCUCCAAGAAAUCCAUGGAGCUAAUAAGUAAGGAAAGAAAGCCCUCUCUCUUGGGUGAUUAGCCUUUGCUUAUGCAAAGAGGAAUCAACAAAGGUGUAAUAUGUCUAAACUCGCUUUGUUCUUGAGUUGAGUCUUGGUUCACCAUAACUACUAGGCUUUGAAUUUCAUGGGUUAAGUUUUGUUUUUGAGUGCAUACAAGCAUGAUUCCGCCUUUUAAUUAUUAAUAGCAUGCAUAGAUGUUGCUCAAAUGAACUAGUUUUCACAAAUAUUUCCUUCAACUGCCACGUGAUGAGCGGACCCCAAGUAUCAUGAUGUGAGAAUUACUUGACACACAAAUUAAACCCUAUUGAUGACAAUUGUAGUAAUGAUGCAAGUAGGGAUCGUUCUAGACCGGGGAUUAACUAGGGAUGCUAAUCAACAAAUAUAAGACUCAAGAAUAUAAGAAGAAACUUAAAAACACAAAAGUAGGUUUUAAAACACUAAACUAGACUCAAAGAGUUCAAAACACUUUAAGGCACAAACUAAACAAACUUAAACACACUUCGAUACAAGAAAGUAAAUGGGAGGUAUUGGUUUGGAUGAGAUUGAGAUAACAACAAAAAGUAAAACUAAAUAGAUGGUUGAUGGAUUAGCUAGAGAUCCAUUCUUCACACAUGACACACUUGUACAUGAAUUGAUUUCCAAUUGCUUUCAAUAGAUUAUGAAACUCAACACCCCAGAUUAACCGUGAUGCACUAAUUAAUUCUCAGAUUUUCCUUGAUUUAUUGAAUUGGAUGAAUGCAUACGACAAUCCAAAUUAUUCUCCAAAAGUCCUCUACAUGAAUGCAUAAUAGAGAUACAAUUAAAGAUCAUUACGUUCUAUGAAAAUCAUAAGUGUUAACGAGGCAUUCGUAACUAUGAAUGCAUGAUACGUUUGCCAAGAAUUCAAUUAACGCGAUUGUGACUAGCAACCUUCACUACCAAUGAAUAUAAACUUGUAACGAUUAGGUGAAACUCAUUUAUAUCCUAGCAUGAAAUUCAUGCAUGAAAACUAAGUAUGCAUCCUUAAUAAACAUACAAGAAUUAGUUUUGAAGAAAGUAGUUAAUUGAAUUGCAUUCACAACUUAUUAAAUCACAAUUGGAAGAAAUCAAUUCAUAUCUCAAACAUGUUCAUGGCUUCGAACUUCACCCUAGCUAAGUAAGGGUUUAGUUCCUCAUACUUGCAAUUAAACAAAAACAAUUGAUAUUAAACAUAGAGAAACAAAGUAGAAGACACCUAGAAUGCUCCAACAACUCCAAUGGAAUGGCUAGCACAACUCCAAGCACUCCUCCUUCUUUGCAAGCCUUGGAACUAAUGGAAAUGUGUAUGAAUGGCUGUGUGUCAUCCUUGAAGGCUGAAUGGUGCUUAUAUAGAGGUUGGAAAUGUCAAGCAAUUGCAAGGUAAUGGACAAGGGAAAAAAAACCCACGGCAAUGAAGGAAGAUGCUGCCAGCUUUUUGCCUUGUGUGUGUGUGCUGUCUUUGUGCUCUUUCCACCUAGAAAUAAUCAUGCCAAAGCCACCCAAAGCUAUAAGUGGGAGACCAACAAGAAAUCCACUUCAUAGUGGUCCAAUUUCCUUGCUUUUCUGCUGUCCAUUCACUCCCCUUGUUUUAUUUCUUUUCUUUUGUUUGCUUUCAAUUCCAAUCUGCAAGUUGUCGUCAGCUAGACCUUCCCUUACUCAAAUGCCUAUAACUUCUUCUAGAAAAAUGAUAUUAACAAUCCGCGAAAUGUUCUAGAAAAUAGACAUCUGUAGCUUUCCAAGCAUAUAAGGCUCAUUCUCUAAUUCAUUCUGAGCUGUUCGUAAUUUGCUCCCAAAGUCAGCUGAUCAAAGUUGUAGAAAUCUGCCAACUCCAUUCCAUUGCCGUGUGUGUGUGUUUGUGUUGUCAUCAUCACUUCCCCACUCUUCCAUGCUUUAAUUUCUGAUUCCUUGCUGCCCAUGUGGUGUGUGUGUUGCUGUUUUCUUUCCUUCUUGCUGCCCAUGUGGUGUUUAUACUUGCACAUGCAUGUUCUUCAUCCAUUUAGCUAGCAAUAAACACAUUUUUCUGCCAUCACAUGGCAGCUAUGAUGUUUGAAGUUGUAGGCCAACACUUUGCACACACACAUGUAGAUUUCUAGCCCAUUGAAUCAUCAAAUUCGUCCAUCCUCAUGUCUCCAUGUUUGCACCAUCCAAUCUUGGCCCAAAAAUGCUCCAAAGUGCUCCAAAAUGCAUCUUCUUGCAUCCUUGGCCCAUAGAACCUACAAACACACAAAAAUGGCUUAAACUACUAACAUAACUAAGAACUAAGAACAUAAAUGCACGAAAACAAACAUACUAAGUCGCAUAAAUAUGCUCCUAUCAAAUUCCCCCACACUUAGCUUUUGCUUGUCCUCGAGCAAAACAAAGAAACAAAACAUAAGAACAAAACAAAAACCUAAACCUUCCAACAUUUACCUUAGGGAUUUUCAAUGCAACAUGACAUGCAAAAGAUCAUCAUAACCACAUAUUUUGGCCUUCCCUACCCUUGAGCACAUACUUAAUCAUAGUCACCAUAUACUAGUUCACAUAUAACCAAUUAAAACGAUGUUUUGAAUGUAGUAACAUGCCUUAGAGAAUUUGCUCAAUUCCUUACAAGAUACACUCUUAUUUUCACUCUGAAUUUCUGACUACACACCCUACACUAGGUGUAUGUGAGAAGAUUGAUGUAAACAUGAAAACGAACACUCACAUAUGUUUAAAGCAAAGAAAGCAAUUUCUGGAGUUAUUAAGCAUGUAUAGAUAUGAUCUCAUGACUGGAAUGCUACUACUUAGAUGCGAGAACCAGGGAUACCAUAUGCUCGUACCAAUCCCAAACUCCACAUAUUGAAACACAUAACACUCAAGAUUGAAGUUAAGGGUUGUAACGGGGUUAGGGGUGAUUGGCUAACAAUGAAAGGUAAGGAAACAAACGUUUUUUAAAGCAUAAUAAGCAAAGUAAUGAAAUUGAUGCUUAGAAUUCCUUUUGAAUGCAGCAACUAACUUUAAACACAAUGGGGUUAUUCAUUCAACUUUUUAGGGCCGAUUUCAACUUUUUGGACCCUUUCUACAACAAACAACACUUGUGAGCCUUUCCUCACUUAUUUCAAACUCUUUUUUUUUGUUUUUUUUUUUUUUUUUUUUAACCCGUGCCUUAUUACUUUCUUUUGGCACACUAAACACAAAACUCUCAUUCCCCCACACUUGUUUUCUGCAUAAGGACAAUCAAAAGGAAUUCAUUUUAAGUCAUGCUUCAUUAUGCUUUAAAAACAAGGGUAAGGAUAGUCCUAAUCUAGGCUAGGUAAGGGAAAUGUGGUUUAACAAAGAAAACAGGCUAAACAAGGCUCAACGGGGUUAAACUUAAACAAAUAUGCACGGGAUAAGCUUUUUGGCUCUAGUUCACUACAGAACUUCAUCUUGAAUAUGUGUUAUGCAAAUCAAUGUCAUGCUUUGAAUGGAACGGGCAUAAGUUCUAGUAUUUGGAACUAAAUGAUGAAACGCCUUCUAAGUAGCAACCAGGCAAAGAAUGAUGAGAUCAUGCAACGACUUUAGAAAACAAAAAUGCACAGAUUAAUAACUCUCCAAAGAACGUAUUAGGCUCAAGUCUCUCAAGGUUGUAGUGUUAGUUUGAGUUCCUUCCUUCAAGCAUGUUACAAAAACUGAUUUUAUUUUAUUUUUUUUUUUUUUUUUGUGAUUACAUGUGAAUUCGUAAACUAUAACUAUAACCAAGCAUAAAUCAAGAGCAUAUCAAACUUCCAUCCAUGUUUAUAACUUUCUUUAACAGUCAUGCAAUUAAAAACCAAAUCCUCAUUAUUUGUGUUGGAAGGUACCCUAAGACACAAACAAACACACAAAAACGACUCUUUUUGGCUUUUUCAAAACAAUUUUUUUUAUUAUUUUUUUUUAUUUUUUUUUAUAUUUUUUUAUAUUUUUGUCAAAUUUUCGGAUUUUUAUGUCAAAACAUACUAACAUGCUUAAAAACACAAUAAAAACACUUAAAACAGCAAGAAACAACAUUGUAAGUGAUAGGUGAAUAAAAUCCCACGAAAAUCAUGCAACAGCAACUUGUUUAUAUUUUUUUAUAUUUUUGUCAAAUUUUCGGAUUUUUAUGUCAAAACAUACUAACAUGCUUAAAAACACACUAAAAACACUUAAAACAGCAAGAAACAACAUUAUAAGUGAUAGGUGAAUAAAAUCCCACGAAAAUCAUGCAACAGCAACUUGUUUACCCCCCCACACUUAAAUCUAACAUUGUCCUCAAUGUUUCAAACAUAAACUCACAAAAAAGCAAACAAACAAACAACGAGGAAACAUGAUAAACAUGGCAAAGUAAAAGCAACAGAGAGGAGGGUUAAAGAACGCAAACACCUGGUUUUGGAGUCGGAAAUUCCUAGGUCUUCUCUAUUUCCAUGGGUUGCCUCCCAAGAAGCGCUUUCUUUAACGUCGUGCAGCCGGACGUCUAUCAUUCAUCAAUGAUCUUUGGUGCCCACGGCAUGGAGGGAUAGAUCCUCCACCACAUGCUCCUCAAACAGGUCGUAAUAGGGCUUCAAUCGAUGCCCAUUAACCUUGAUUUCAUGUCCUGUUUUCAAGCUUUGGACUUGGACUGCACCAUGAGGAAAGACAUUAGUAACAAUAAAUGGCCCAAUCCACUUGGAACGUAACUUACCGGGGAAUAACCGAAGGCGAGAGUCAAAUAGGAGCACUUUCUGUCCCUUGGAGAAUGUUUUGGUACGAAGCAUCUUGUCAUGAUACGCCUUGGUCUUGUCCUUGUAAAUUCGAGCGUUCUCAUAAGCGUCAUGCCUAAUCUCCUCGAGUUCAUUUAGUUGGAGCUUUCUAUGCACCCCGGCUGCAUCUAUGUCCAUGUUGAAGGUCUUCACAGCCCAAUGCGCCCUAUGUUCCAAUUCAACGGGCAAAUGACAUGGUUUACCAUAAAUGAGACGAAAAGGUGACAUACCUAGAGGGGUUUUGUAGGCCGUACGAUAGGCCCACAAUGCAUCGUCCAAGCGCAAACUCCAAUCUCUCCUUGAAGGCCCCACAGUUUUCUCAAGAAUUUGCUUGAUCUCCCGAUUUGAAACUUCCGCUUGCCCAUUGGUUUGAGGAUGAUAAGGGUGGAUACCUUAUGCGUCACUUUGUACUUCUUGAGCAAAGCUUCAAUGGUUCGAUUACAAAAGUGAGAGCCUCCAUCACUAAUGAGAACUCUAGGCAUGCCAAACCUAGCAAAGAUAUUAGUUUUCACAAAAUCUGCAACAACCUUUGAAUCGUUAGUUCGGGUGGCUUUGGCUUCCACCCAUUUGGAAACAUAAUCAACAGCUAGCAAGAUAUAAGUGAAACCAAAAGAUGGAGGGAAAGGACCCAUGAAAUCUAUACCCCAAACAUCAAAGAUUUCAACACUAAAAAUGGGGGUUUGCGGCAUUUGUUGUUUAGGACCAAUAUUGCCCGUUCUUUGGCAUCUAUCACAAGACAUGCAAAAUGUUCUAGCAUCCCUAAAGAUGGUAGGCCAAUAGAAACCACAUUCUAACACCUUAAGUGCUGUUCUUUGAGUGCCAAAGUGUCCCCCACAAGCAUAAGUGUGACAAAAGGUUAGAAUUGCAUUAAACUCAGAAUCGUGUACACACCUACGUAUAACUUGGUCAGGGCAAUAUUUCCAUAAAUACGGGUCAUCCCACACAUAAAACCGUGCCUCUUUCUUCAAUUUAUCACAUUGGUGUUUUAAGUAAUUCACUAGGAACAUGUUUAGACACCCAAAUAAUUCACCAAAUCAGCAUACCACGGUUCACUUACCUUGACGGACAUCAGUUGCUCAUCUGGGAAUGUCUCUAUGAUAGGCACGACAUCCUCCUCAUGCACUAUACGGCUCAAGUGGUCAGCCACCACGUUUUCACUUCCCUUCUUAUCCCGGAUUUCGAUAUCGAACUCUUGAAGAAGAAGCAUCCAACGAAUGAGUCGUGGUUUGGCUUCCUUCUUGGUGAAUAAAUACUUCAAUGCUGCAUGGUCAGUAUAAAUAAUAACUUUAGUACCAAGCAAAUAAGAACGGAAUUUAUCUAAAGCAAAUACAACAGCAAGAAGUUCUUUUUCAGUGGUAGAAUAAUUCAAUUGUGCAUCAUUUAAAGUCCGAGAGGCAUAAUAGAUAACAUGCGGCCUCUUUUCCUUCCUUUGCCCUCCUAAAACAGCUCCUAAUGCAUAAUCGGAAGCAUCACACAUAAGCUCAAAAGGAAAGCUCCAAUCUGGUGGAACUAUGAUAGGGGCCGAAGUUAGCAUUUCUUUUAGGUGAUUGAACGCCUUCUCACACUCCUCGUUGAAGUCAAACGCCACAUCUUUUUGGAGGAGACGGCAAAGAGGGUUUGAGAUCUUGGAGAAGUCCUUGAUAAAUCGCCUAUAAAAUCCUGCAUGACCAAGAAACGAAACGAAUCUCUCGAACCGAAGUAGGAGAGGGUAAGUAGCGUAUAAGAUCUAUUUUCGAUUUAUCCACUUCAAUUCCUCUUUCUGAAACAAUAUGCCCUAGAACUAUGCCUUGUCUAACCAUAAAGUGACAUUUUUCCCAAUUAAGCACAAGGUUAGUUUCUACACAUCGUUUUCAAAAUUAUUGUGAGAUUUUCCAAACAACCAUCAAAUGAAUCACCAAAACACACUGAAAUCAUCCAUAAAUACCUCAAUAAUCUUUUCCACAAAAUCUGAAAAGAUACUUACCAUACACCUUUGAAACGUGGCCGGAGCAUUGCAUAAACCAAAAGGCAUGCGACGAUAAGCAAAAGUACCAAAGGGGCAUGUGAAAGUUGUCUUUUCUUGGUCAUCCGGCGCUAUGACAAUCUGAUUAUAUCCAGAAUAACCAUCAAGGAAAACAAUAAAAAGAAUGACCGGCUAACCUUUCAAGCAUUUGAUCAAUGAACGGCAAAGGGAAGUGGUCCUUCCUUGUGGUGGCGUUGAGCUUCCUAUAAUCAAUGCACACUCUCCAACCUGUUUGGAUACGGGUUGGCACAAGCUCAUUCUCGGCAUUUUUCACCACUGUCACUCCGGACUUCUUUGGAACACAUUGCACCGGUGAUACCCAACGACUAUCAGAGAUCGGAUAAAUUACUCCACAAUCAAAGAAGUUUGAUAAUCUCCUUUUUUCACAACUUCCAUCAUUGGAGGGUUGAGACGGCGCUGAGCCUCUCGAGUUGGUUUAGCCCCCUCCUCUAGAAGUAUGCGAUGCAUGCACGUAGUCGGGCUAAUUCCCCUAAUAUCGGCCAAAGUCCACCCAAUGGCCGUCUUGUGCUCUUUCAACACUCGGAUCAACUUCUCCCUCCUCUAUGGUCGUGAGUGAUGAGGAGACAAUGACGGGCAAUGUCUCGUUAUCUCCCAGAAAGGCGUACUUUAAAUGAUCGGGCAACGGUUUAAGCUCAAGUACGGGGUGCCUGAGUUACUGAGGGUAACAACUUAUUAGUGAGACUGAAAUUGAAAUUGGGUUAGAAGGCUUACCAUGAUAUUGAGGUAGUGACUCAAGGGCAGCCACUAUCUUCGGCCUCCUCCACACUUCUAGGCACGGCAAAACCAGAUUUUUGCCCAAUUCCUUGUGCAAUUGUUGUUUCAAGUGUAUCCCUCUCCAAACAAUCGAGAAAAAUCCUGCGCCAAAUCAUCAAUUAUAUCAAUAGAAAAGCAAGAAUGAUCGUCCUUAGGAAAUUUUAAUACUUUCAGAAAGAUUGAAAUCAAUGACUUCCCCAUCAAAUUCCAUCGUUAAAGUUCCUUUAAACACAUCUAUCUUGGUGCGGGCUGUUUUCAUGAAGGGCCUCCCUAAUAGAAUCGGCAAUGGGGUGGGAAUGGGGUGAAUCUUCCAUGUCAAGCACGUAGAAAUCCGCUGGAAAAAUCAAGUCACCAACCUGCACCAAAACAUCUUCCAAAAACACCCUUUGGAUAUGCAUUAGAACGAUCGGCUAAUUGAAUUAUCACACCAUCAUUUUUAAGCUCACCUAAGUUCAUAGAUGCAUAAAUAGAGUAUGGCAUAACAUUAAUUGAAGCCCCUAAGUCUAACACUGCAUUGUUCAAACUUAGUAUUACCAAUAACGCACGGAAUUGUAAAAACUACCCGGAUCUUUGCAUUUAGGGGUAAUUUCCUUUGUAACACGGCAGAGACAUUUUCACUUACUUGAACCACCUCUUUGUUCGAAAUCCUUCUCCUUGUUGUACAAAGUUCUUUUAAAAACUUAGCAUACCUCGGGACUUGCUUAAUCGCAUCAAGGAGCGGGAUAUUGACUUGAACUUUCCGAAAGGUCUCUAGAAUGUCCUUCUCAGCUUCUUCCUUCUUUGAUUGCCUAAACCUGCCAGGAAAGGGCACAUUUAGUGGAAUAGAACUAGAAAAAGUUGAAUUGGGACUUACCUUGGUGGUUUGGGAUGGUUUAGGAGGACUAGAUGAAUUCGGCAAGGUUUGGUCUUCCUUGGCCUUGGGCUUUUCUCCCUGUGCUUCUUCUUGCAGCAACUUGUCCUCCUCGUCUUGACUUGAUUUGGAUGUAUUGGAGUCCGUUCCAACCUGUUUACCACUUUUUAACAUGAUGGCCUUAGCGGUUUCAAAUCCUCCAUUCGGGUUCAUAACGGUUGAACUAGGCAAUCUGCCUUGUUCUCUAAUUUGCCCCAUAAAUUCUGCAAUUUGACCAUUUGCUUCUCCAAAUUGUCCACCCGUUUGUCUUGGAUUUGUCUCUCCUUAUUUUGAGUUUGUACUUCCUGCGUCAAAGUAGUAAGUAACUUAACAAUGUGAUCAUUAUCCAAAGACAUACCUGAGGUUGUUGGGGCAGAUUGCACUUGGUUUUGAUUGGGGACGAAUGGCUUUGUAUAAAAGCCCGGUGGUUGCUGCCUAAAUCCUCCUUGUUGUUGGGGUUGUUGAGGAUCCCGCCAUUUGAAAAUUUGGAUGGUCUCUCCACCCCGGAUUGUAGGUAUUAGAGUAUGGAUUCAUGGCGUGGUUGAUUUUGGUUCCCAAAACCCACGGCAUUGGCAGAUUCCCAACCCCCCAUUCUCAAUCAAUUGAGGGCAUUGAUCAUUUGCAUGUCCUUGCAUAGAGCACACGCCACACACACUUGGUCCAUGAAUCUUCAUUCCCUCGGCCAACUGAGAAACAAUAGAAGUAAGGUUAGCUAAUUGGGAUUGAAUUUCGGGCAUAGAACUUACCUCAUUCACUUGUGGCCGUGGGUGGUCUCUUUGUCCAACACCUUCGUAUUGUUUGCAUUAUGUGCUCGGUUGGCAAUUAGAACUUUUGCAGCCCCCGGAGUUUUAUCCACCAGCGCACCUCCCGCCGAGGCAUCAAGCAUUUGGCGUUCCAUGGGAAGGAGUCCUUCGUAGAAGUAUUGAAUGAGCAGCUCCUCCUUCAUUUGAUGUUGUGGACAAGAAGCAACAAGUGAUUUAAAACGUUCAUAAUAAGAAGGAAACGAUUCACCUUGAUUUUGAUUUGUUGGAUGCCACUAAUCCGUUUCCUCAAGAGAAUGACUCUUGAAGUUGGGAAAAACUUCUCCAAGAAAGCUCUUUUCAUACUAUCCCAAGAUGUAACCGUUCCGGGUGCUAACUCGUAAAGCCAAUCCUUCGCCUUUUCCAAAAGUGAGAAUGGAAAAGCCUUCAUCAUCAGAAUGUUCCCGUCGACAUUUAUGGGUGUCAUGCUCGAACAAACAACCUCGAAUUCCUUGAGAUGCUUGUUUGGCUCUUCCAUGGAAAGCCCAUGGUAUUUCGGAAUGUGGUGCAACAAGCUUGACUUCAACUCGAAUUCAUCGGUCUUGCCUUGGGCAGCCGCGGGGUAUUGAAUGCAUAAUGGUGCGGCAUUGGUCAACCCCGAGGCCGAAAGCUCUUUAAUGGUCCGAUUGUCCGCUGCCAUAACUUCUUCUUUCUCUUCUUCAAACUCAGAUUCGGCCUCUGAACUUGAACUAGGUUCACUAGGUUCGGGAUGCCUCCUCUUUCUUCUCAAAUUCACGUUCAAAAAUCGUUGUUAAAGUCCAAGAUAUGCACAGUUUUGAGAACUCCGCGUCAUGCAUUAGUACCUAAACCAAGGAAAACAAAACAAAAUAAGAAACUAGGUAAAUUACACUAAAAACACCACGGCAAAAACACAAGGGGGAUUAGCAAUUUGCUAAUCCCCGGCAACGGCGCCAAAAUUUGAUGUGAGAAUUUACUUGACACACAAAUUAAACCCUAUUGAUGACAAUUGUAGUAAUGAUGCAAGUAGGGAUCGUUCUAGACCGGGAUUAACUAGGGAUGCUAAUCAACAAAUAUAAGACUCAAGAAUAUAAGAAGAAACUUAAAAAACACAAAAAGUAGGUUUUUAAAACACUAAACUAGACUCAAAGAGUUCAAAACACUUUUAAGGCACAAAACUAAACCAAACUUAAACACACUUCGAUACAAGAAAGUAAAUGGGAGGUAUUGGUUUGGAUGAGAUUGAGAUAACAACAAAAAGUAAAACUAAAUAGAUGGUUGAUGGAUUAGCUAGAGAUCCAUUCUUCACACAUGACACACUUGUACAUGAAUUGAUUUCCAAUUGCUUUUCAAUAGAUUAUGAAACUUCAACACCCCCAGAUUAACCGUGAUGCACUAAUUAAUUCUCAGAUUUUCCUUGAUUUAUUGAAUUUGGAUGAAUGCAUACGACAAUCCAAAUUAUUCUCCAAAAGUCUCUACAUGAAUGCAUAAUAGAGAUACAAUUAAAGAUCAUUACGUUCUAUGAAAAUCAUAAGUGUUAACGAGGCAUUCGUAACUAUGAAUGCAUGAUACGUUUGCCAAGAAAUUCAAUUAACGCGAUUGUGACUAGCAACCUUCACUACCAAUGAAUAUAAACUUGUUAACGAUUAGGUGAAACUCAUUUAUAUCCUAGCAUGAAAUUCAUGCAUGAAAACUAAGUAUGCAUCCUUAAUAAACAUACAAGAAUUAGUUUUGAAGAAAGUAGUUAAUUGAAUUGCAUUCACAACUUAUUAAAUCACAAUUGGAAGAAAUCAAUUCAUAUCUCAAACAUGUUCAUGGCUUCGAACUUCACCCUAGCUAAGUAAGGGUUUAGUUCCUCAUACUUGCAAUUAAACAAAAACAAUUGAUAUUAAACAUAGAGAAACAAAGUAGAAGACACCUAGAAUGCUCCAACAACUCCAAUGGAAUGGCUAGCACAACUCCAAGCACUCCUCCUUCUUUGCAAGCCUUGGAACUAAUGGAAAUGUGUAUGAAUGGCUGUGUGUCAUCCUUGAAGGCUGAAUGGUGCUUAUAUAGAGGUUGGAAAUGUCAAGGCAAUUGCAAGGUAAUGGACAAGGGAAAAAAAACCCACGGCAAUGAAGGAAGAUGCUUGCCAGCUUUUUGCCUUGUGUGUGUGUGCUGUCUUUGUGCUCUUUCCACCUAGAAAAUAAUCAUGCCAAAGCCACCCAAAGCUAUAAGUGGGGAGACCAACAAGAAAUCCACUUCAUAGUGGUCCAAUUUCCUUGCUUUUUUCUGCUGUCCAUUCACUCCCCUUGUUUUAUUUCUUUUCUUUUGUUUGCUUUCAAUUCCAAUCUGCAAGUUGUCGUCAGCUAGACCUUCCCUUACUCAAAUGCCUAUAACUUCUUCUAGAAAAAUGAUAUUAACAAUCCGCGAAAUGUUCUAGAAAAUAGACAUCUGUAGCUUUCCAAGCAUAUAAGGCUCAUUCUCUAAAUUCAUUCUGAGCUGUUCGUAAUUUGCUCCCAAAGUCAGCUGAUCAAAGUUGUAGAAAAUCUGCCAACUCCAUUCCAUUGCCGUGUGUGUGUGUUUGUGUUGUCAUCAUCACUUCCCACUCUUCCAUGCUUUAAUUUCUGAUUCCUUGCUGCCCAUGUGGUGUGUGUGUUUGCUGUUUUCUUUCCUUCUUGCUGCCCAUGUGGUGUUUAUACUUGCACAUGCAUGUUCUUCAUCCAUUUAGCUAGCAUAAAACACAUUUUCUGCCAUCACAUGGCAGCUAUGAUGUUUGAAGUUGUAGGCCAACACUUUGCACACACACAUGUAGAUUUUCUAGCCCAUUGAAUCAUCAAAUUCGUCCAUCCUCAUGUCUCCAUGUUUGCACCAUCCAAUCUUGGCCCAAAAAUGCUCCAAAGUGCUCCAAAAUGCAUCUUCUUGCAUCCUUGGCCCAUAGAACCUACAAACACACAAAAAUGGCUUAAACUACUAACAUAACUAAGAACUAAGAACAUAAAUGCACGAAAACAAACAUACUAAGUCGCAUAAAUAUGCUCCUAUCAUAUCACAAAGGCUGGAAUCUAGUGCUAAAUAUCUUUCUCUAGCUAACUUCCUUGCACCUCUCUCUAGUUCAUGGUCAUAAGGAGCAAGAACUUUAUUCUUUAUAAAAAUAACGACUAAUUAAAUAAUAAUAAUAAUAAUAAUAAAAACAAAAUCUAAGUAAUUUUUUAUACCAUUCCUUGAGGAGAUCAACCUUGCUAGAGUCAUUCUAUACUAUGAUAACUUUUUCUCUUGCAAGAACUUUCCAUGGUUUAACCCUUGUUUAAUAGGUGGUAAAACCUCUAUCAAUAAAUUGGUGCCGUUGCCAGGGAUUGAAUCCGCCUAUCACGCGGGUGACCCGAGUUCGAUCUCUGGCAACGACACCAAUUACUUGAUAGAUAUUUUAUCACCUGUAAAAUAUAGGUUAAACCAUUCUUGUAAGAGAAGAAGUUAUCGUAUUAUAGAAUGGCUCUAUCAAGGUCACACUCCUCAAGGACUAGUAUAAACAAAUAACUAGUUUUGGAGUAUUAACUUGGUUAACUCUAAUAACUAGACUAAUUUAUCAAAACUAAAACCUACUGGAUGUAACUUAGAAAAAUAUCUAAAAUGGGAAUUGGUUUAUAGAAAUAAUGAUCCAACUAAACAAAACAAGUAAAUGUAGCAAUAUAAGAAAAUAAAAAUAAUUGAAGGAAACCGGAUUGACAAGGCGCUGCAAUUCAAUCUUCAACAACAACACUUCUAUGUAGCUCUUUUAGUUAUUCAAGUUAUUGAAUAUAUGCAAACUUUAAAGGUUAGGUUUUCCUUGUGUAAGUUUUACUUGUGAUAUUCAAUCUAAAACACAUACGACAACAUGCAAUUCAUCCAUGACAUUAGAUUAAAUAUAAACAUGAGUGAUUCAUUAAACUUUGUGAAAACCGUUUUGAUAACCAUAUAAUCUGUAAAAGUAUAAUAUUUACCAUAGGAGAAAUUACAAUUCUCAAUCACAAGAAGCAUAACCAAUUUUAACGUGAUAUUCAUUCAAAAUUACAUUCAACGACUUUUCGAAUCAGCCUAUUGGUGACCAAAUAUCAAGGCACUAUAAUUUAGUGAUUGAAAAUAUCAAAGUAACAUGUAACAACACUUAAGUAACCAAAAGAGAACUUUACGUAAUCAUGUUGAGGCUCACGGCCUCACUCUAGCAAAACAAAAUUAGUUAUACAUAUUUUUCUAAAUACGUACGGAAUUAUCCAUGAAGAAUCAAAGAAAGAGAUGUUCUCUUUUCACAAGAAUUCUUCCUCAGCUCUCUGAUCUCCUCCUCUGAAAAAUAACCUUCACUCUUCUUUAUUGUUAUAACCUCCCUAUUUAUAUCCCCUUCGAUGCAUACUUAAAAGGGACUCCAAUCAUUCAAACUCUGGAUCAGUUAAAGAGACUAAAAUAAAUCUUUGUUAAACUUAAACUUCCUAAUUUAAAUGGGCAAACUGAACAUCUCUUUCCUCCAAACGUUUAAUAAACCAGAAGUCAUUAGAUUUCAAUGAAUGAGGUCUCCUUCGAAAGCUUGAAAUGUUUGCUUUAAAAGCUAAAAGGAAAGUUUCCUUAAUUUAGGCUUUAAUUAUGUACUUAUCUCUCAUGCAACCUUCAAUGGUUUACACUGUCAUCUCAGCAUGCUGACUUGUCUUCUUUCUUAAACUGCGUGCAAUUGGCUGGGAAAUUUUUAGAUUAAAACAUGAUACAAUGAUCUUCAAUCCCUUGUGAAUUGGCUUCAACUGGAAUCACUAAAAAAUUCCACCAUUUGCAUUCUUUUCCAUCAAACUCGAUUAUGCUUCUCCUAGAAACACAAUAUGGCAAAAGUAUCCCAAAUACUUAAGUGGCUUGCUGACAAUUUCAUAUCAACCUGGAGCUUGAGGCAAAAGCAUUGGGAAGUCCAUCUAUUAAGUACUGGUUUAUGGUUCAUCAAGGAUUUCCUUGAGUUCUAUCUAGAUUGAACUCUUCCUCUAGAAAUGUUGCAUUUUUGGCGACAAAGACUUUCUAGUCGUCAGGAUAAUAGAAAUAGUAUCCCAAAAUUUCUUUGGCAUACCCUAUAAAGUAGCACUUUAUAGAUUUCACAUCAAGGUUGUUAGUUUGAAGCUUAUUAACAUAUGUUGGACAACCCCAAAUCUUAAGAUAAUUAAGACUAGUCUUCCUAUUGUUCCAUAUCUCAUAUGGUGUGUUCAAAACAGAUUUGGAAGGAACUUUGUUUAGUAAUUAUGAAAAUUAGAUGAAGCCUCAUCUCGACAUAGUGGAUAUGGGUCCACAUACAUCAGUAUGGAUUGACCCUAGUAACUAUGUGACUCACUCUCAUUUCCCAAUGAAUGGAGAUUUAGGCAUCUUCCCCUUUAGACAAGACUCGCAUGUAGGCAUUAAGUCAUUACCUAAUGACUUAAAGUAUCCAUCAAUGGACAUCUUCUGAAUCUUAUCUUGGUUCAUAUGUCCAAGCUUAAGGUGUCACAAUGUUACUUUGUUAACACCUUCUCUUAACCUUUUGGAUUUUGAGGUAUCUCAAGUAGUACAAUUUAAAAUACCAUUCAUGUAGAUAUUAAAAGGUCCUUCAAUCAUGCUACCAUGAUCUAUAACAUGACCGUUCAAAGGUAAAGUAGAACUCAUAUUGUCAAACAAGAUUGAGUGUCCAUCUCUCAAACGCUUGGAGAUGGAGAUUAAGUUCAUUAAACAUGACGGAAAGUAAAGACAAUGUUUAAGUUCUAAGACUUAUCCAUUUGGCAGUCCAAGAUGAUAGGCGCCUAUUGCUUUUGCAGAGAUCUUUGUGCCGUUUCAAACUUGCACAACCAUCUCUCCCUUGCGCAGUGUCCUGCUCUUUAGUAAUCCCUACAACGAAUUACAUAUAUGUUGACCAGUACCUGAAACAAAUAUCCAGGCUGAAGAGCUAACUGUGAAAGCAUUUUCUUUAACAAAAAUUAUUUCUUCAUAAGUUCUGUUUGUGAGGUUCACAAAGCGCACCCUGUAUUUCUUCUUCCAAUGAUAAUCAUUUCUGCAAUGAAAGCAUGUCCCUUUGGAGUAUCUUGCUCUCUUUUUUAUGUGACCUUUUCCUUACUAUCAUAUUCUCGCUUCCACUAUUUCUUUUGAAACAUUGUUCUAAUGUACAACGCAUGUCAAUCAUCUCUGAAAGAGAAUCAUCAAAUCCAUUCACUUUAUAGUUUACUAUAAACUAAGUGAAAUCAUUCUAGAUAGAUGCAAGGAAAAAGUUUUGGGCCAUUUUCCCAUUGAUGGAAGUUCCCAAAUUCUUUAAGUCUUAAAAGAUCUUGUCUAUCUUUUGAGCAUGUUCUUGGACCGAUGUCCCUUUGUCAUUUUUGAAUUUAAUAAACUAUAGACAUAUGAGAAAUGUACAUUACUAGUCUCUAGGUCAUGCAUCUUAUGCAAACUUUCAACCUUGGUAAGUGUCCAUGUGCUUAUGUCGCUUCUUAAGCUCCUUACUAAGUCAACUGAGGAGUAAGCAUUUGGCCUCUACGUCAUCCUCAUAGUGUCUAGUGUAACUUUUACACUCCUCCUUUGAAGCUAGUUUUGUAGGAGAUGCAUGAGAAGGGGAUUGCGUGAGCAAAUAUGAUAUGCCAUUCACCUUAGAGACAUUCUCAAUGUGAUGUUAUUGAGCAAGGAAACAUUGGCCACUAAGGCUUCUUUUGUUAAGUACUUUAUCUACAUAACAUAACAAAAACCAAAUUAGAUUGUUUGGUAAAACUAAUUGAUUUGGGGUCUUUAAAUCAAAUAGUAUCCCCCAUUAUUUUUGUCACAUUCCAUAUCCCUCAAUGGAAUCUGAGAGUUAUGUUGAACUCUUAGCGAGGUAUGGGAGACUCACUAUUACCAAGCCUACCUCAUCCUGUUUGAUUAUUGGCUAGCUUAAAUAAUAAUGAGAGGGAACAAUUUUUGCUUCUACCCAUUCACAUCUCUUGUGAUUACCCAUCUAAUUUGGGCUCUAGAGAAUCUUUGCCUAAAAAUAUCUUCUUAUUGACACCUCAUUCACUUAGUUAAGUCAUAUCCACCAUGCUUGUUCAUAUAGGGGGUUCAAGCAUGGCCACAUAACGUCUACUUAUUGGUCACACUCGUUGCCUAACUUUACAAGAUCCAAUUUAUCGAAUACCCUUCUUAAAUGCAAACACAUACUUUUCACCCUUGUAAUGUAGAGUUAAAGCACGGUGCACUUGUGUACAUUCGAAUAGAGAGUACUAUGGUGGAAGGCCAUGAAAGAGUUUUCAAAGCACCCUUCACUUCUCAACGUAAUAUGCUCGUUGUUUGAGGGAAUUACCUUAGGCUACAUCAAUUCAAUUUAUCUCAUUGAAAGGGACAUAGUGAAGGAAAUUUUGUGAAAAACAUGUUCAUUUAAGCAACAUCUAUAGCAUGCAAUUAACAAUUAAAAGGCGGAAUCAUGCUUGUAUGCACUUAAAAACAAAACAUUAACCAUGAAAUUCAAAGCCUAGUAGAUUGGUGAACCUUGACUCAACUUAAAACAACAUUUGUUAGUUGAGAAAUUAUACCUUUGUAGAUUCCUCUUUGCAUAAGCAAAGGCUAAUCACCCAAAGAGAGGGCCUUCAUUCCUUGGAUCUUAGAUCUAUGGAUUUGGAUGGAUGAAAAUGGUUCUCCAAGUUCCCAAAAUUGAGAACCUCUAAGUCUCUUCACCAAGGUUAGAUUGGAGAAGAAAUGAGUGACCUUGGAGUAGUAGGAUUGCUAGCUAAACCCUCCAAGGAGGCCGGCCACUUUAGAGAGAAAGGAGAGCGUAUGUUCUCAUCCUUUCCCCAAAAGAAAACCCUUAAAUGAAUUUUGGCUAUAAAGUCAUAUUUAUACCUUUAUUCAUUGGAGUGGCAAACUUGUAAUUAAGUCCAAAACCCACUCCUUUAACUAAAUGGCCGGCCUUAGGGUAUUAUUGGGCUAAUUGGGCCUUUGUGAAUCAUUAUUCAUUAAGUUGUCAUACAACUUAAUUCAAUGGGCUUGACGUUCAAAGCCCAUUGGGCCUUAAGGUCCAAAAACUAUCCCGAGGUCUUUAACGAACUUAUUCGUUUGAUUAAUUAACAUAUUAAUUAAUCCUUGCCAUAAAUAAUUAAACCAUUUAAUUAUUCUUACUCAUCUCCAUUGUUUCUUCAAUCUCCACCUUACACAGUGUACGAUCCAUUAGGUUCCUUUUAGCGAGGCAGUGGGCGAUUAAAACCAUUUCAAAUCGAUUGUGAAUUGAAACUUACUUUCAAUUCUCCCUUUAGUGAUUAUACACGUUUAGGGCUUCCACAAACCAUGAGUGACACCUAGCAGCAUAUCACGUUUAGGAUGUGUCUACGAAAGAAUGGUCUCAUGAAUCUAACUUCUUUAGAUUGCAUUCUCCCAAUCACAUAUUCCUUGGACUUAUCAUUUAAGCAUAUAACAUUUAUAUGAGACGGCUCAAACAAUAAUCUUUGCCCUUUAUAUUUAAACUACAUUAGUUUAACUUUGUGAAAUGUCCGUAAAGUAUCAUCAUAUGAUUGGUUUUAGGGCACAUUUCCAUCAAUCUCCCACUUGCACUAGAGCCAAUCAGCUUGGUCAUCAGUGAUGAUACCUCUUCUGUAGUCAUUUCAUAAAUGGCUGAGUAGUAGGCCUAGACAAUGGAUAUCUAUAUGUUAUCCAUAGAAGCAACCUUGAGAAUAACGACGUCACCAUUAUACAUGAUUCUCAAUCAUGUGGUUCAGUCUCUCAUAUGAGUUCAGAUCUUGAUGAGACCUUGAUUCCCUGGCUUGAGCUAUUGCCCCAUUAGUGUCAUAGUGUCAGUACACUAGAUACACUUUUUUGUUGGAACCGAAUAGAGAGUUCAUAAAUGAACUUUCCCAUCCAACAACAUUGUUGUAAGCUUCUAUAUGGCAAUAUAUUUUGCAUUCAUAAUGGAACAUACUAAAGUCAUUACUUUUAAUGUUUCCAUCCAAAUAUCUCUUUAGUCAUAAUAAAGAGAUAUCUGAUUAUCUCUUCAUUCAUAAUGAAGAAACAUCCAAUGAUGGAUUAGAUUCAUAAUCUAAUACAUUUACGCUUCCAUUAUGUUACUCUAAUUCUUCCUCAAUUAUUGAGGAAUCUAUCCUUUUGUAUUUCUUAAAUACUUAAGGACUCACUUGACAGUUGCCAUGGUUCUGAUCCUGGGCUUGUACUGAUAUCGUCUUGUACCGUUCUAGAUGCAACUCAUAUCAAUGUUUUUCAUACAAUAUGAAAUACAUAAAUCACCUUUAUGCGUAUGCAUAAAGGAUUCUAUUUACGCAUUAUUUCUUUGGGAGUCAAAGAGUACGUUCUCUUUGAGAAGAGCAACUUCUUAGUCUCACUAGAGUUGUCCUUCUAAUUGAAGUUUAUCAUCAUAUGAGAAACUUCCUAGCACCUAUUGUCUAUUAUUAGGGAUUGAUAUAAUCCGAUUAUAUCAUGAAAUAUAUCAUUAUAGAUUUCCAUCCCAUGUAUAUAGACUAUAUCUCCCAUAUACAUUCUAUCUUCAUAUAAUGUUUUAAAGUCAUAACUUUAACGAAGAAGAAUUCUUUUCAUUUCCAAAAUUAAUAUAUCAUAUAUAUUAAAUUUUAGGAACAUGAUUAACUCCCAUAUACAUUCUAUCGUUAUAGAAUGUUUACAGUCAUAACUUUAACGAAGAAGUAUUCUUUUCAUUUCCAAAAUUAAUAUAUCAUAUAUAUUUAAAUUUUAGGAACAUGAUUAACUCCCACUAAUCUUUUGUAAACCUAGUAAACAAAAGAUUCAUUUACAUCUUUAUGAGAAAUCAAACGAUUUGAUCCUUUUUCUCAUAAGAUGCUUAUAGCUCCCACUAGCUUGCUAAGAUUCAUGAUGGAUGGAUCUCUACAACUUACAUAUCUUGUGAUUUAUAGUUUUAGACAUAUAUUAUCAAGACUAUCUUAAUAAUGGUUUCGGAAACCCAUAUUAUGUCCAAACAUUGAAUCACCAUUUAGUUGUAGCUAGCAAUCUUCGAAUUAAUUGAAACCAAGACUAUCUCAAAGAUGGUUUCUUCAAAAGUCAACCAUUCUCUUUGAUUGUAGUCACCUUAAGCUACCAAUUAGCUUAUGAAGGUUUCAUUAUUUCGGGUCAAAUGGUACUUUACCAUUUCCUUGAGUAUAUAUCAUAUAUACACUCAAUGUAGUCAUAAGGAUUUUCAUUCUUAUUUCUUUCGAAUUAAGAGGUGCAACUCUAUGACAUAGUCAUAAAGUUCAAACCAUUCAACUAAGACGGUUUAUAAAUCCUUCUCGACUACCUUGGAGCUUUUGGUAUAGGAACUAGGUUGUUAUAUUUGUUGAUUAUUAUCUUGUCUUUCAAAGAACCCAUUCUUUGAGUUCUAUCUCUCGUUCAUUUGCGCUUAGGCAAAUCACAUUGUAGGAUUACAAUGAACUACCCAACAAAACAACAUUUGUUAGUUGGUUUAUAGA
Molecule: long non-coding RNA, 40192 nt
Filed under: Malus domestica (apple)
Lineage: Eukaryota; Viridiplantae; Streptophyta; Magnoliopsida; Rosales; Rosaceae
Description: long non-coding RNA (MDOM_LNC017962)
Source: RNAcentral